AGAAAAACUUUAAGUGAGGUUAUUGAUAGACAAAAGGAAAAGCCAAUUCUCACUUAUGUAUUCCUUAAUGGACGGGUAAAAUAGGAGUUUUUUCUUUCAAAGAGAAAAAUAUGGUUUCUAAUAUUAAUAAUUAAAAUGAUUCUUGAAACUUCCAUAAUAAUUGAAGAUGAUCUGACAGUUCUCUUUGGCAUUUAUAUAGAGAAGAAUAAGUACUAAAUACCAGUUUUACUAAAUAUGUUUUUUCUUUUGCAGAAGAAUGCAGAUGUGCUGUUUUCCUCAUUUCAGAAACCGAAACAGAAACGACAUAGAUGUCGAAACCCUAAUAAAUUGGAUAUAAACACUUUGACAGGAGAAGAAAGGGUGCCUGUUGUCAAUAAACGAAAUGGGAAGAAGAUGGGUGGAGCUAUGGCGCCUCCAAUGAAGGAUCUACCCAGGUGGCUGGAAGAAAAUCCUGAAUUUGCAGUUGCUCCAGACUGGACUGAUAUAGUUAAGCAGUCUGGUUUUGUUCCUGAGUCGAUGUUUGACCGCCUUCUCACUGGGCCUGUAGUGCGGGGAGAGGGAGCGAGCAGAAGAGGAAGAAGGCCCAAAAGUGAGAUCGCCAGAGCAGCCGCGGCCG
RNAcentral lists this small RNA (616 nucleotides) under Pan troglodytes (chimpanzee). RNAcentral describes it as "retained intron". The record is from RNAcentral. Lineage: Eukaryota; Metazoa; Chordata; Mammalia; Primates; Hominidae.